GGGCGCAGCCUGAUCCAGCCAUGCCGCGUGAGUGAAGAAGGCCUUCGGGUUGUAAAGCUCUUUCGGUGGGGAAGAAAUUGCACGGGAUAAUACCCUGUGUAGAUGACGGUACCUGGAGAAGAAGCACCGGCUAACUACGUGCCAGCAGCCGCGGUAAUACGUAGGGUGCGAGCGUUAAUCGGAAUUACUGGGCGUAAAGCGUGCGCAGGCGGUUGGAUAAGUCAGAUGUGAAAUCCCCGGGCUCAACCUGGGAACUGCAUUUGAGACUGCCCAGCUGGAGUUGGGCAGAGGGA
RNAcentral lists this ribosomal RNA (293 nucleotides) under uncultured bacterium. Its description in RNAcentral is "partial 16S ribosomal RNA". It matches the Rfam family "Bacterial small subunit ribosomal RNA", at positions 373 to 659 of the family's 1533-position model. The record is from RNAcentral.